This is a long non-coding RNA of Trichomycterus rosablanca, 485 nucleotides long. RefSeq lists it as uncharacterized. The record is from RefSeq and is a predicted model, not a curated record. NCBI's taxonomy places the organism in Eukaryota, Metazoa, Chordata, Actinopteri, Siluriformes, Trichomycteridae. The transcript has 5 exons.
GUACUAGUGUGUGGUACAGAAAGCACUUUUUGAUAUCUACACAGAGGUUCUCCUGCAGGUCAGAACAGUUCAACCAACCGCGCCACCUCCUGCACCCUCCACCACGACUCCUUCUGUCCAUACAUCAGCACCGACUACACCCACUCCAACAACCACAGGUAGGUCGUUCUCACCUGACCUCUUUUCCAUAAAGUGUCCGUCACGUCGUUCAUCCUGUACCUGUGUUUUAUUUCAGCUCCCGUCCAGACCGGCGCUCCUUUAUCCUCGGCUCCCGUUCACACCGUCGUCGUCCCAGUGGUCGUCGUGCUGCUUCUGACCGGACUUGUUUUAUUCACUGUUCUAUAUAAACUACACAAGAAAAGAGGUCAAGAAGAACCUCCAAAGAUCUCCAAAGUGGUGGAUGAGGUUGAUGGAGAUGACCCCCCUGCUGAAGAAACCUACCAGAAUCUACAGAGAGGAACCGACGAUCUGGUUUACGAGAACCU